RNAcentral lists this ribosomal RNA (495 nucleotides) under uncultured bacterium. RNAcentral's name for it is "partial 16S ribosomal RNA". It matches the Rfam family "Bacterial small subunit ribosomal RNA", at positions 28 to 507 of the family's 1533-position model. The record is from RNAcentral.
GAUGAACGCUGGCGGCGUGCCUAAUACAUGCAAGUAGAACGCUGAAGGAGGAGCUUGCUCUUCUGGAUGAGUUGCGAACGGGUGAGUAACGCGUAGGUAACCUGCCUGGUAGCGGGGGAUAACUAUUGGAAACGAUAGCUAAUACCGCAUGACAACAGUUAUUGCAUGAUAACUGUUUAAAAGGGGCAACUGCUCCACUACCAGAUGGACCUGCGUUGUAUUAGCUAGUUGGUGAGGUAACGGCUCACCAAGGCGACGAUACAUAGCCGACCUGAGAGGGUGAUCGGCCACACUGGGACUGAGACACGGCCCAGACUCCUACGGGAGGCAGCAGUAGGGAAUCUUCGGCAAUGGACGGAAGUCUGACCGAGCAACGCCGCGUGAGUGAAGAAGGUUUUCGGAUCGUAAAGCUCUGUUGUAAGAGAAGAACGAGUGUGAGAGUGGAAAGUUCACACUGUGACGGUAGCUUACCAGAAAGGGACGGCUAGCUACGUG